GCCAUUUCUGGAGUCGUAUCAUGAGAUCCCACGAUACUCCCCACGUUAAUUCAACAAUCAACUCAUCUGGACUUUUUAAUUAGAACAAUGUAUCGUGUGUUCUUCCUUCCAAUAGGAAUAUGAGGUCUUUGCAAAUUGGGAAACCACUGGUAAAGUUAACCUCUGAUGAAGAGAUCUGCAAUUCACCUUUCCACAAUGUUUCUAAGGUCCCAGGCUGAGUGGAAUGCUGAGAGAUGACAGUCUUCUGCUAACUAUUCAAA
Molecule: long non-coding RNA, 260 nt
Organism: Mauremys reevesii (Reeves's turtle)
Lineage: Eukaryota; Metazoa; Chordata; Testudines; Geoemydidae
Exons: 2
Source: RefSeq, a predicted model, not a curated record